CAUGUUAAUAGAUUAUCAUACAAGUGACAACACUCAGCAACUGGCCAGAGCUAACGUUGUUCAAAAACACAAGCUUCUAUUACAUUUUUGGAGCAAUAGUAGCAGCAUUUAAAUGGAAUUCCGACUGGAAGUUAGUUUUGCUUGCGUUUGGCUCCCUUAUAGUUAAAUCCCACAAGUAUAUUGAGCUGCUCUUCACCUCAGAUUCCCACUGCC
Molecule: long non-coding RNA, 213 nt
Filed under: Setaria viridis
Lineage: Eukaryota; Viridiplantae; Streptophyta; Magnoliopsida; Poales; Poaceae
Description: long non-coding RNA (SVIR_LNC006453)
Source: RNAcentral